CCUACGGGAGGCAGCAGUGGGGAAUAUUGCGCAAUGGGGGCAACCCUGACGCAGCAACGCCGCGUGAUUGAAGAAGGCCUUCGGCUUGUAAAGAUCUAUCAUCGGGGACGAAACAAAUGAUGGUACCCAAAGAAUAAGCUCCGGCUAACUACGUGCCAGCCGCCGUGGUAAUACGUAGGGAGCCAGCGUUAUCCGGAUUUACUGGGGAUAAAGGGCGAGUAGGCGGGCUGGCACGUUUGGAGUGAAAUCCCGGGGCUUAACCCCGGAGCUGCUUGAAGAACCGCUGGUCUUGAGUGAUGGAGAGGCAGGCGGAAUUCCGUGUGUAGCGGUGAAAUGCGUAGAUAUACGGAGGAACACCAGUGGCGAAGGCGGCCUGCUGGACAUUAACUGACGCUGAGGAGCGAAAGCGUGGGGAGCAAACAGGAUUAGAUACCCGGGUAGUC
This 443-nucleotide ribosomal RNA is filed under the name uncultured bacterium. RNAcentral's name for it is "partial 16S ribosomal RNA". It matches the Rfam family "Bacterial small subunit ribosomal RNA", at positions 338 to 795 of the family's 1533-position model. The record is from RNAcentral.